Molecule: long non-coding RNA, 156 nt
Organism: Triticum dicoccoides
Lineage: Eukaryota; Viridiplantae; Streptophyta; Magnoliopsida; Poales; Poaceae
Exons: 3
Source: RefSeq, a predicted model, not a curated record
UUGCCUUGUUGGCAACAUUGUGAGAUCAUGACCAAGCAUGACAAGAAUGGAGGCUCGUCAACCACCUACCAGCACACCUAUCAUGACCGAUGAUGAGACGCUGAAGGUUACGAGAGAUGAUGCUGGAGAGAUGCCCUUCCUGUAGGUCUGCACAUA